RNAcentral lists this transfer RNA (71 nucleotides) under Loxodonta africana (African savanna elephant). It matches the Rfam family "tRNA". From Rfam's summary of the family: Transfer RNA (tRNA) molecules are approximately 80 nucleotides in length. Their secondary structure includes four short double-helical elements and three loops (D, anti-codon, and T loops). The record is from Rfam by way of RNAcentral. Lineage: Eukaryota; Metazoa; Chordata; Mammalia; Proboscidea; Elephantidae.
GUAGUGAUAGUUCAGUGGUAGAAUUCUUGCCUUCCGUGAAAGAAACCUGGGUUCGAGUCCCAGCCAACGCA